GACGAACGCUGGCGGCAUGCCUAACACAUGCAAGUCGAACGAGCGCUUCGGGUCCAGUGGCGUACGGGUGCGUAGCGCGUGGGAACCUGCACUUAGGUUCGGACUAACUAUCAGACAGGGAUGCUAACACCGGAUAGUGUCUUCGGCCCAAGGAUUUAUCGAACUUGGUUGUGCACGCGUUGGAUACGCUCGUUCUGAGGGUAAUAGCCUACGAAGGCGAGCAUCCAUAACUGGUUUGAGAGGAUGAUCAGCGACACUUGGACUGAGACACGGCCCAGACUCCUACGGGAUGCAGGAGUGGGUAAUAUUGGACAAUGGGCGGAAGCCUGAUGCAGCAAUGCCGCGUGAGUGAUGUUGUCCGUAGGGUUGUAAAGCUCUUGUACCCGUGAUGAUAAUGACAGUACCGGAAGAAUAAGCUCCGGCUAACUCCGUG
This 433-nucleotide ribosomal RNA is filed under the name uncultured bacterium. Its description in RNAcentral is "partial 16S ribosomal RNA". It matches the Rfam family "Bacterial small subunit ribosomal RNA", at positions 28 to 507 of the family's 1533-position model. The record is from RNAcentral.